AGAACCUACGCAGGCUAUACUGCAGUCGAACGGUGUUUCGGACAUAGUGGCGCACGGGUGCGUAACACGUAUGCAACUACUUACAUUGGGGGAUAGCCUUUCGAAAGGGAGAUUAAUACCGCAUAAGACAGUAGCUGGGCAUCCAGCAGCUGUUAAAGAUUUAUCGAUGUAAGCUGGGCAUGCGUCCAAUUAGCUAGUUGGUGAGGUAAUGGCUCACCAAGGCAAUGAUUGGUAGGGGAACUGAGAGGUCAAUCCCCCACACUGGCACUGAGAUACGGGCCAGACUCCUACGGGAGGCAGCAGUAGGGAAUAUUGGGCAAUGGACGCAAGUCUGACCCAGCCAUGCCGCGUGCAGGAUGAAGGCGUUAUGCGUUGUAAACUGCUUUUAUACAGGAAGAAACGACUCUUGCGAGAGGCAUUGACGGUACUGUAUGAAUAAGCACCGGCUAACUCCGUGCCAGCAGCCGCGGUAAUACGGAGGGUGCAA
RNAcentral lists this ribosomal RNA (487 nucleotides) under uncultured Flexibacteraceae bacterium. Its description in RNAcentral is "bacterial SSU rRNA". It matches the Rfam family "Bacterial small subunit ribosomal RNA", at positions 36 to 537 of the family's 1533-position model. Lineage: Bacteria; Pseudomonadati; Bacteroidota; Cytophagia; Cytophagales; Cytophagaceae. The record is from RNAcentral.